GACGUAGGGGGCGAGCGUUGCCCGGAUUCACUGGGCGUAAAGCGCGUGUAGGCGGUCCGUUAAGUCAGGUGUGAAAUCCCACGGCUCAACCGUGGAAUUGCAUCCGAUACUGGUGGACUUGAGGACGGUAGAGGCCGGUGGAAUUCCCGGUGUACCGGUGAAAUGGGCAGAUAUCGGGAGGAACACCAGUGGCGAAGGCGGCCGGCUGGGCCGAUCCUGACGCUGAGACGCGAAAGCCAGGGUAGCGAACCGG
This 253-nucleotide unclassified non-coding RNA is filed under the name uncultured Actinomycetes bacterium. RNAcentral describes it as "uncultured actinobacterium contains 16S-23S intergenic spacer region". It matches the Rfam family "Bacterial small subunit ribosomal RNA", at positions 524 to 776 of the family's 1533-position model. The record is from RNAcentral. Lineage: Bacteria; Bacillati; Actinomycetota; Actinomycetes.